UGAAGCUGGAAUCGCUAGUAAUACGCAGAUCAGAAUGCUGCGGUGAAUACGUUCCCGGGUCUUGUACACACCGCCCGUCACACCAUGGGAGUCGGAAAUGCCCGAAGCCGGUGACCCAACCAAAAGGAGGGAGCCGUCGAAGGCAGGUCUGAUAACUGGGGUGAAGUCGUAACAAGGUAUC
RNAcentral lists this ribosomal RNA (181 nucleotides) under uncultured bacterium. RNAcentral describes it as "partial 16S ribosomal RNA". It matches the Rfam family "Bacterial small subunit ribosomal RNA", at positions 1321 to 1500 of the family's 1533-position model. The record is from RNAcentral.